CCUGAUGCAGCGACGCCGCGUGAGGGAUGACGGCCUUCGGGUUGUAAACCUCUUUCAGUAGGGAAGAAGCGAAAGUGACGGUACCUGCAGAAGAAGCGCCGGCUAACUACGUGCCAGCAGCCGCGGUAAUACGUAGGGCGCAAGCGUUAUCCGGAAUUAUUGGGCGUAAAGAGCUCGUAGGCGGUUUGUCGCGUCUGCUGUGAAAGACCGGGGCUCAACUCCGGUUCUGCAGUGGGUACGGGCAGACUAGAGUGCAGUAGGGGAGACUGGAAUUCCUGGUGUAGCGGUGAAAUGCGCAGAUAUCAGGAGGAACACCGAUGGCGAAGGCAGGUCUCUGGGCUGUAACUGACGCUGAGGAGCGAAAGCAUGGGGAGCGAACAGGAUUAGAUACCCUGGUAGUCCAUGCCGUAAACGUUGGGCACUAGGUGUGGGGGACAUUCCACGUUUUCCGCGCCGUAGCUAACGCAUUAAGUGCCCCGCCUGGGGAGUACGGCCGCAAGGCUAAAACUCAAAGGAAUUGACGGGGGCCCGCACAAGCGGCGGAGCAUGCGGAUUAAUUCGAUGCAACGCGAAGAACCUUACCAAGGCUUGACAUGAACCGGAAAGACCUGGAAACAGGUGCCCCGCUUGCGGUCGGUUUACAGGUGGUGCAUGGUUGUCGUCAGCUCGUGUCGUGAGAUGUUGGGUUAAGUCCCGCAACGAGCGCAACCCUCGUUCUAUGUUGCCAGCGCGU
Molecule: ribosomal RNA, 733 nt
Filed under: actinobacterium OR-30
Lineage: Bacteria; Bacillati; Actinomycetota; Actinomycetes
Description: bacterial SSU rRNA
Rfam family: Bacterial small subunit ribosomal RNA
Source: RNAcentral